AACGAACGCUGGCGGCAUGCCUAACACAUGCAAGUCGAACGAGACCUUCGGGUCUAGUGGCGCACGGGUGCGUAACGCGUGGGAACCUGCCCUUAGGUUCGGAAUAACUCCCCGAAAGGGGUGCUAAUACCGGAUAAUGUCUUCGGACCAAAGAUUUAUCGCCUUUGGAUGGGCCCGCGUUGGAUUAGCUAGUUGGUAGGGUAAAAGCCUACCAAGGCGACGAUCCAUAGCUGGUCUGAGAGGAUGAUCAGCCACACUGGGACUGAGACACGGCCCAGACUCCUACGGGAGGCAGCAGUGGGGAAUAUUGGACAAUGGGCGAAAGCCUGAUCCAGCAAUGCCGCGUGAGUGAUGAAGGCCUUAGGGUUAUAAAGCUCUUUUACCCGGGAUGAUAAUGACAGUACCGGGAGAAUAAGCGCCGGCUAACUCCGUG
RNAcentral lists this ribosomal RNA (433 nucleotides) under uncultured bacterium. RNAcentral's name for it is "partial 16S ribosomal RNA". It matches the Rfam family "Bacterial small subunit ribosomal RNA", at positions 29 to 507 of the family's 1533-position model. The record is from RNAcentral.